RNAcentral lists this ribosomal RNA (252 nucleotides) under uncultured bacterium. Its description in RNAcentral is "partial 16S ribosomal RNA". It matches the Rfam family "Bacterial small subunit ribosomal RNA", at positions 524 to 776 of the family's 1533-position model. The record is from RNAcentral.
UACGGGGGGUGCGAGCGUUGUCCGGAUUCACUGGGCGUAAAGGGCGCGUAGGCGGCUGGCUCAGUCGGGCCUGUAAGUGCGGGGCUCAACCCCGUGAUGGGCUCGGGACGGGCUGGCUGGGGCGCGGUCGAGGGAGACGGAAUGCCGGGUGUAGUGGUGAAAUGCGCAGAUAUCAGGAAGAACACCCGUGGCGAAGGCGGCUUUCUGGGACGGUACUGACGCUGAGACGCGAAAGCGUGGGGAGCGAACAGG